AGGAUGGUCUCAGUAUCCUGACCUCGUGAUUUCCUGCCUCGGCCUCCCAAAGUGCUGGGAUUACAGGCAUGAGCCACCGUGCCCUGCCACACUGCUGUGCAAUUCUAAAGAAUUCUGGGAGUGCUGUCAGAGAGUACUUGAGCCAAAGUUGCCCAUCAAAAAAGUUUUAAAUUCACAGGAGUGGGUUUGCCUUAGCAUAGCUUUUGAACUAAGUAACUGGCCAGCAGCAGCAUGUGGAAGCAUGACCUUGGCAAGAAAUGUGGCCACAGAUAUCAGCACACAGCAGCUGGGGUAGCUGAUCAAUGUACUUCCUUCAAUGAGAGAUCUGUGAGGUGCAUUUCCAUGGCCACCACAGAGAUGUAUAAGAAAUAUUAGUUCAAUGAAUGAAUAAUGAAUAAAUGAAUGAAUGAAAGAAUUACUCCUUCAUGUUAUGUUUAUAACUGGCUCUUCCUCCAGGUUUUCUGCCUCACUUUUGGCUCUCUCAGCUACUUUAUUACUGAGAAUUUAUCUGUACUGUCUAGUUUUACAGCAACGCUGGGAGCUGCUAUUAUCCAUCCCCAUUUUAUAGAUGAGGAAAAUAAGCCUCCAGAUAGGUUAUGCAACUUACUCAACCAAGCUCAACAACUAAUAAAUGACUCAGCUCUGUCUUCUGAAGUUGACACUUAAAGCCCAUACCCUUAGCUAUUAAUGCUGUACAUUGCCAAUGCAAGGUGGAUAAAGACGUGGAGAAAUACUCUGCCCUGCUGAGUAGAGUCCUGAAACUGCAAGGGGUGGGGAAAUAGCAAUGAAUCCUAGGCUUAGGCCAGGUAACUAAGAUGUGCCUUUAUGAGUUUAUCUUGAUCAUUUCUUUAUUCAUUCAUUUAUCAUUGGCCAUUUAUUCAUUGUUCACUAGUCGGCAAACAUUUAUCAAACUCCUUUGCAUGCCAGUCCAUGGACUAAGUGUUAAUCUUUAUGCCUCUGAUGCUUAUCAUCUGCACCGUCCAAUACAGUAAGCCACGUGGAGCUAUUGAGCACUUGAAAUACAGUUGGCCUCAAUUGAGAUGUGUUGUGAAUAUAAAACAUAUACAGUUCUCAAAGAGUGAAUAAAGAAAAAAUUAUUUUUAAAAUCUCAUGAAUAGUUUUUAUACUGAUUACAUAUUAAAAUGAUAGUUUUUGGUCAUAUAAUGUUAAACGAAACAUAUUGUUAAAAUUAAUUCCACCCAUUUCUUUUUAUAAUUAUUAAGGUGACAUUAGACAAUUAAAAAUGAACAUGGCCGGGCGUGGUGGCUCAUUCCAGUAAUCUCAGCAUUUUGGGAGGCCAAGGUGGGUGGAUCACCCGAGAUCAGGAGUCUGAGACCAGCCUGGCCAACAUCGUGAAACCCCGUCUCUACUAAAAAUACAAAAGUUAGCCGGGCAUGCUGGCAUGUGCCUGUAAUUCCGGCUACUCAGGAGGUGGAGACAGGAGAAUUACUUGAACCUGGGAGGCAGAGGUUGCAGUGAGCCAAGAUCUCGCCACUGCCCUACAGCUUGGGAGACAGAUUGAGACUCCAUCUCAAAAAAAUGAACAUAUGGUUCCUAUUAUAAUUCUCUUGAAUUAUAGCACUGGUCUCAUGGAUGAUAUAGAUAGUGGUCUAAAAGUCCAGAGGUUUCUGAGGUCACAGAGCCCGGAGCAAAUGUCUGUGGGGAAUGUUUACAGAGGUGGGAGAUUUCACCUGGGCCUUGAUGAGAGCACUAGAUUUUACCUGAUGGAUGAAGCAGGGAAUGGUCUUCCCAGUGAAUGAUGGAAGGGUGGAGUAGUGGAGAGAAAAGCUUCAUCCAGUUAUUUGGGGCUGGAAUUCUAAGUGAAGUUGUCUCAAGUUGGGUUUUCUAGGAAACAGAGUCUGAGCUGCAGUUUAGCAUUUUUAUUUAUUAAAGUGCUUGUUUAUUAAAGAGUAUGCUUAACUUCACUCAGUAUGUAGAUAUGGGCUUCCCUGGAAGGGGCAAAACCUUGGAUGAGGCAGCUCUCUGCAGCUGAGGUAAUUCCCAAGAGGACCAGCAUUCAGACUGUCCCCCAAGAUCACACUCAUCAACUAGGAUGACAAGUCCUUUUUGAAGGACCAUCUGAAGGGUCCAUCACAGUGUCCACUUCAGUUGUCUAGAGAAAUAGAGGGCACAGUGUGCCUUCCUUUACUGCAAGCUCAGUCCACAGGGUCUCACAUUAGCUGAGUGUGUGGGAGGAAGACCAAGUGUCUGUGAUGUCAGGUGGGUAUUUCGGAGUGUAUAUAAAUUACAGUAAGGGCAGUGUCAAAUGAGUAUGUGUAAUGCAUCUACCCAUGGUCCCUAGAGUCCACUAGAAGACAAUUUCUUGGUGUUUAAGAGAUUAUUCUUUUAAUAAUUCAUUGAUCUUAACAAUACAAUACAUCAAUGGUUUACGCAAAAGCCAUGUUUUAUCUGCAAUGCACUUCUAAAUUGAAAGGUAUCAUAAAAUGGCACUUAACUUUCAGAAUCCUUAUGUUAUCUAAAGCUCAGUUUCAGAUUUGUUUGAUGAUAACGAAUAUCCUGUCUAUUUUAUUAUCUAGUACAAGCCCUAGUUUCGGAACUCAGAAAUAAAUGAGGCAAUGCCUGCAGGUGGGUGGCACGUGUAGGUGCCUGUGUGUGUGUGUGUGUUUGCGUGUUUUGGAGUAUGCAUGGAUUUGGCCUUAUAGUUUAUUGAGAGCAUUUUUGCACUGGUUUAUAGUCAUGCAGUGAAGCACCUCUGCAUUUCUCACCUGGCCCAUUUAGUGUGGACACAUUCCUUUGUCAACAAGGACAUAAAGCCACAAUCUCCUCCUCCAAACAAAACAAAGUGAAUCGCUAUGUGUUCGGUAUAAUGGGAUUGAGAAGUAGAGUUCUCUUUGCUGUUAUUUCUCCAUAAUAGGCCCAUGAUUUCCUGGCCCCUGGCAUUCAGGAUAGUGAGCAUGUGCAAGUGAUUACGAGGGCAGAGCAGUUGCCAGUUUUCCCUGUAGCUUUCAGAAUGUCAUCAGAAAUCUACACGUAUGGGCAGUGAGGUCUGGCUCUCCCAUGUCUCCCCUGCCCCAUCUUGAUUGCUCUCUCUCUCUCUUGCUUUCUAUUUCCCAGAAACAUGAACUUACUUUGACUUUUCCAAAUAUACCAUGUUCCUUACCACCCAGUGUCCUUGCAGCUGCCAUUCCCUCUGCCAAGAGUGAUUCUUGCUGGGCCCCUUUUAGAUCACAUCUUUAUUCCUGGUGGACAGAAAGAACCAGGACAACAAGCCCAUGCCUGUCCCAAGUAUAGCUGAGUGCUUGACACUUAGAGAAUGUGAAUAAGUGAAUGAGCACAGCAUAAAUGAAAUACCACAAACAGGCCAAGCCAAAUAAACUCUGAAGUUGAGUUUUACUUGGUUAUUAAUGAUCUUUGGCACAAGAGUUUCAGUGACUUGAUAAGGCCACAAGCCAAGUGUGGCCUGGUUCAAGAAGUACAGGGAUGAUACAGACAAGACAGAAAGGAAAUAAAUUCUAUCAAAAAGCUCAGCUGUCUUGAAAAAGCAAGAGAUAAGAAAUAACUUCAGAGGUGGGUAGAAUUGAGAAAAGGAUUUCUAUUUUGUUAUUUUCCCCGAAUAAAUAAGCCUUAAACAUGUUUGUAAGCUGCUGUGAAGUAACCAGCAGAGAGGAAGUGAUUGAAGAUGAGAGAGAGAAACAGAGUAAUUGAUGAACCAACGUCCCCGAGGAGACGGGAGGGAUGAAAUCAAGAGUAUAGGUCAAGAGGCGAGCCUGGGAGAGGCCAGUGCUAAGGCAGGUGAUAUUUCUGCCCGGCCGUUAGCUUUUGUGCAGAAUAGUGAAGGAAGAAUCAAUCACUUCCUUUCUGGCUGGGUAAAUGCCAAGAAAUUCUAUGGCAGAAACUUCCCCAGGCAGGAGACUCAGAAUUAAUUGUUAGGAUUAAGCAUAAACCAAAACGAGCAGGGAAAUCCCAAGCACUAAAUCCCAGGAAUGGGGCCUUCAUGGAUAAAGGAACUUCAUCUGUGAAUGAUCCAGGAGCCCAGAAUGCCAAGGGAAGUUUCUAGGUUCUUGGAGAUCAAGUUAAUGCCCCUCAUAAGGUUGUUUCACAUGAGCCAAAAUGUAUAUUGAUUUUUUUUUUUUUUUUGCCUUUAUUACACUUCCAGAAAGAGAGCAUGAUCUCCUGGAAUCUGUUUAGGGAAUAAAAAUGUCCGUACAGAAGAAAAAGGUUGUUUUUUGACCUUCUGCUGACACUGUCUUCUUGCUCUCAUCACAGCUUAUUUUCUAGCAAUAUGAGGCCCACAAAUUAGGAAUCUCCUUGCAGGCCUUCAAAUAUGAUUUACCUGAUUAAUAAAAUCUUAGUGGAAUAGAUAGUAUUCUCCUGUGUGUGUGUGUGUGUGUGUGUGUGUGUGUGUGUGUGUGUGUCUGAUGAUUGGGGUUCUUGGAUACUUAGGGUGCAGGGAUGAGGGCAAGCUGACCUUGUUUUUCAUCUAGGAGACCUGACAAAGAUGGUGGGCUGAGAUAGCCGUGUAAAGCUAAAACAGAAAUACUUAGUGAACAAGCAAGUGUGUGAGUGAAUAGAUCAAAGAAUGAAUGAAACUACCCUCUGCACUCUAGGUUCUAGAAGGCACCCUGAAAAAGGCAUGUUGCUUGGGGUAUAAUAAUUGCUCAAUAUAUUUUUCAGUAAGGAAUAAAAGAACCAACAAAUAUUGAUUGGAUUAAAUGGAUUAAUAACUGAUAAACACUUACAGGGCUGCGGCAUGUGCUAGGUAUAAUGUAUUACAUAGAUAAAAUGGAUACGAACCAUAUACCAGGCCCUGUGCCAAUUGCCUGCAUGUAACUCAAAACAAAAGACAAAGGUCUUGCCCUCAUGGAGCCUGAAGUCCAGUGAGGGUUUCGUUAAACUUGUAGGACACCAUUUCCAUGCCUUCCAUCAGUAGAGCAGAUUCUCUGUGCAGAUACUUUUCACACAAACAAUGCCUAACCAUCCCAGAAAAUCUGAGCGGUGUUAGCAACCUCACUUUCUCUGAGAUAAAGCUGAGAUUUCUUUUAGUGACUUGUCCAAGGUCACAUAGCUAUUACGUGGCAGAGUCAAGACUCAAACACAAGUCUGUCUCAUUUCAAAACUUGGGCUGUUUGCCUAUAUCAAACUGCCUUUAAUUUGCCCAUUUUAAAGCAGGAAAGAACUAAAAGGCUUGCUUUGAUGGAUGUGAGGUGAUUUGUUAAAAGCUUAAGAGACUGCCAUUUUUCAUGAUAUGCGUAAAUGUGCCCUAACCUCCUGAAGCAAUAUAAAGUGGUUCUUUAUGUUCUUAGGGUAUUCCCCAUCUAAGGUAAAAAUUAUCAAAACUACUGGGGAGAAAGCUUCUCUGGAGAUUUGCCUUAUAAAAUAAACAGAAAUCAAUUUUGACUUGUUUUCUAAUCAUGAUAAAUGAAGCCAGGUUAGGAGAAAAAAAAAAAAAAGUCCCAGCAUUAGUUGAGGAUCAUUUUGCCAGGAUACAUUGGUCUUUGACAAGCAAUUAAGAAGUCCUGUGAUUGUGCCUGGCAGUGCCACAGCUCAGCACACUCCUGAUUAAUUCUCAUUUUCUUUCUUUCCUCGGGAUUUAUUUACUCGUUUCACUUGGAAUGUGUUUAGCUUCUUAACCUCCCCCACCCCUCUUUUCUCACGUGCUUCUUUGCUUGGCCCCCUACAACUCUACCUAUACAUUAAUCAGUGUCAUAUUCAUUACUGCUGGUGAAAUGCCAUACAACAUUGGCAUUCAUUCAUUUUUGUCUCUUCUGUUGAGCCAUUCAUGGUAGAUUUCCCCAACGAAACCUACCAUGUUUGUUUUCUGUAUUUCCCACCAGAUGUUCUUUUAAAAGCCAGAAGAUGUCUGCCUUGGUCUGGUUGGUAUAAAGAGGGUUCAUCCAAUAUAAACUGCCAACAGUAGGUUGGAAAUACUCAUCAGUAUGGAAAGGGCGAAGUCUGGGCAAAUUGGAUGGGUCUUGGAGAAGCUCUAAGAGUUGGAAUCUACAUCAUCAUCUUUGUCUUCAUGGCUAGCAACUGUUGACUCCUUUCUCUAGUUCAGGCAUUCUGUCUGACUCUUACAUUAUUUCUUUGAAUCCUUACAACAACUCUAUAAAGAUGGUAAUGGAAAAAGACAAGAUGACCAAGAUUCAGAGACUUUAAAGCACAUGAGCAGUAAGUGGUGAAACCACCUCAGGCCUCUGCCUGUUGACUUAUUCAUAGGAUAACCCACAGAAACACUAAUUCAAACAUGGUGUCAGAAACAGCAGCAGUAAUGAAUGCCUCAAUGAAAAACAUUUGGCCCAGCACCUUGGUUAGGUUGAGUUUGCAUGGCAACCCUAUUGAAUCAUGGGUUUCUCAGAGCUGGGAGCUGCACCAUGCCAUCUACCUGCACCUGUCCUCUUUGGAGGCUGGGUUGGUGUUUGACCCUGUGAAGAGCUUUGGAUUGCUUUGCCUACCCGCAGUGGACUUGCUCACACAUAAGUGGGAGCCCUAGCUCAUGGUCUCCAAAUUUUUAUCCUCAUCGUUUCUUCCCACCUAGUUUUUUCCUAAUUCUGGCCCUUCCUGGCCACCCACCCUGCCAUUAUCUUUCUCUGACGCUUAGGACUUGAACCCUUUUUUCAUCCUUUUUGUUUUAUUCUGGUGUUUUAGUCGUGAGCUAACUGGAAAAUGCUUCUCACAGUUUAAUUGCCGUGGAAACUUUCUACUUGGAAUCAGACCCUAACGGGUUUUUUCCCUUUCCUUAGGGGGCUGUGCAUAUAGGAAAAGGGAACAUAUAUGUUAUCCCUCAUGUGUUAGGGGCUGUAUAGUAACAAGCCUGGAAUAACCCUUAGAGCACCUUCAUAGGGAAGGUAGGGUUUAUUAUCCAUGUUUCGUAAAUAAGAGCACUGAGGUUGAGAGAGGUGAUGCAGAUUGCUGAAGUGCCUAUAGCUAGGAAGUGGCAAGUCACAAUGGGGCCCCAGUUCUGUCUGCUCUAAAGCCCAGUCUGUCUGUCUGCUUCUCUGUAUGUCUCUCUUUUUCUCUCUCCCUAUUCUUCUGGAAGUCAUAGAAUCCUGUGAUUCUCUUCCAAACUGCUUUUUUUUCUAUUAAAAUUAUAACCCGUUAUUAAAAUAUUUAAGCACACAAAUUAACUGGUGCUAAUUAUGAUAUUUUGAAUGGUAAUAAGCAAUUAGAGUGAGAUUUAAAGAAGAAAAAAACACCUGUAUAUAACUUGGCAUCUUUUGUAAUAAAUACAAACACCUAAAUAUAACUUGGCAUCUUUUGUAAUAAAUACAAACUUUUGUCAAUCAUGACUUGAUCUAACCGAUAUGCCUCAGGUCUGCACAGAACGGAAAUGUUUUUUGGAAAUCCUAGUACUUCAGAAGGCUUUGGCAUCCAAAUCCAUUGCAAGUAGCUUUCUAUUUAGUCUCUCAUUUUCUCUCUAAAGAGAGAUUGAUAUGAUGAUUUUUAGCUUAAUUUGAGAGAUGUUGAGUUUUCUCCAAGACACCCUCGUUGGUUCACCUUGCUCUGAAUCCUUUGUCUUCUCACCCUUUGUGGCAAAUUGAGACGGGGGAAAACUAUUAGGUUGGGGCGAAAGUAAUUUCUGUUUCUGCCAUUACUUUUGCCCCAACCUAAUACCUCCCAGCAAAAUGCAGGGGUUGCGGAGAGAAAGGGAGUGAUGUAUGGAGAGUCAGUCAUAGUACAUGUGCAAUUCAAGAUACCUGGGUGGGCAUAGUAGUCUUUCCCCUGGAGUUCUAUGUCAUUGCAGCCUCCUCUCCCAUCACAGCAUAAUUUAAGUGAAGCAGGUUUAACGGGUGGUCAGUAUUUACCAGAGCCAGCCUUCUGCUUCUGGCCAGCUGGGUGACUUGACUAGCAGACCAUUACUCCAUGUGGGCCACCGUUUCCCAUGAAUAGAGUGCGACAUUUGAACUAAAUGAACCUAGGUUUCUCCCAUGGAGUGCAGUUUCUCCCUAAAUGAACCCAGGUUUCUCCCAUGGAGUGCAGUUUCUCCCUAAAUGAACCCAGGUUUCUUCAAAAUUCUAGAGGCUCUGACUCUAGCAGCUGCAAUUGGACUCUUCCCUAGAAGCAUCUCGCUGAGUCUGAGAAAGGCACGUCAAUGAUUCUUCAAGGGAAGUAGGGGGAAGCAGAGGCAGUGCCAUUCACAAUGAGCCACGGCUGCUGACAGCAGUUCUGUAACCAUCCGGUGUGUUUAGACGGGAGAAAGAGCUUGAGAAUCGCGAUUAUAUGGAUCAUCUCUCUCUAGAUGGACUUCUUUUAUGGGAGAUAAUACUGAGGUUAAGAGGUUAAGCAACUUGCUCAGGUCACGCAGCAAUUUAUAAUAUAACAAGAUAUUUAUGAGUAAAACAUAUAUGAACUAAUUAUAUAUCUGAUAGUCGUUUUUAAGGAGGAAGAAGUUACCAUAAGAAAAAGAAAAACAGGACUUGGGUGUUAUACCAUGAAUCACACGUGUGUGUGUGUGUGUGUGUGUGUGUGUGUGUGUGUAAGAUAAUUUUUUCAGCAAAUUAAAAACAAAGCCUAAGAAAAAUGAGAACUUCCUGAACAAAAAUAUUCAAAAUGAUGACUAACUAGAAAGUAUCAGAAACCACAUUUUCCUUAACCAGUACUGUCUCAUACAAAUAUAACAUAAGUCACACAAGUAAGUUUAAAUUUUCUAGUAGGUGCAUCAAAAAAGCAAAAAGAACCAGGUAAAAUUAAUUUUAAUAAUGUACUUUAACCCAUAUCUAAAAUGUGACUUCAUUGUGUAAUCAAUAUGAUAAAUUAUUCACAUAUUUGACCUUUUUGUACUAAGUUGUUAGAAUCCAGUGUGUAUUUAUUUUGCACUUGUGGCAUGUCUCGAUUAGGACGAGCCACAUUUCAAAUGCUUAGUAACCACACAUGGCUACUGGCUACAGCAUUGUACAGUGUGGCAAAAGUUUCUCUCCUUUUUCUCUUUUCCCAGGCUCUGUUGAAAUUUUUCUUUCAGAAAAAUAUUUAAAUAGGAUAUACUCUGACUUUGAAAAAAUACACAUAUGUGUAUGUUUAUAUAAGUAUAUGAAUAUAUACAUGCAUAUUUCUAUCUAUCUACCUGUCUAAUAUCUGUCAUCGAUCUAUCUACCUACCUACCUACCUGUACAUCUAUCUCUCUAGAGAUCUUCUCCACAAAAGCAAGGAAAGAGAAUCUCUGACACUAUAUUUUCUUAAUGAAGAUGGAGAAGUUUUUGCAGUUCUCAUUAUUUCAUUUCAGGCUUUCAGAUGUUCAGGAGCCCUUUACUAGAAGGUUGAUAGAUUAAUAAUCUCCCCACUAAGCUUAUAGCUUAGCAGACCUCCAUGGUGGCCAUGAUGAGGAUUCCUUUAACACAUGAUUGGCCCUUAGUCCCCAUUUCUCUGGUGUGAGUUUUCAGCUUUUGUUACCACAUCAAAGCUCCGGCAAUUUGUGCAGGAAACCCCUUGAAGCAAUCAUGAACCCACUUGUACUGUAAGAGUUCUUACUUCCAUGUCCUAAAAGAAUAAUAACCACAAAAGGAUAUUUCCUUGCUAAUGGACUGGGGAGAAUGGACUGUGACAAAGGCUGGUUUCUCAUUGCCAGGAUUUUAAUGAGGGGACUCACCUGAAAAUGUCUAGUGCACAUUAGGCUCUUCUAAUAGUUUCCGAGAGCUGGAGUAACAGAUUACCACUAACUCAAAUGGCUUAAAACAACAGAAAUGUGUUUUCUCACAGUUCUAGUGGUUAGAAUUCCAUAUUCAUGGUUUCGGCAGGGCUGUACUCCCUCCGAAGGCUCCAGGGGAGGAUCCUUCCCCACCCCUUCCUAGAUGCUGGUGGCUCCUGGCAGUCCUUGGCAUUCCCUGCAGGUGCAUCUUGCCAACCUCUGCUUCCAUUGUCUCAUGACCUCCUCUUCUGCCUCUCUGUCUGUGUGUCCUCAUGUGUUUUUGUAAGGACACCAGUCUUUGAGUUUAGAGCCUACCCUAAUCUAAAAUGACCGUAACUUUGUCACAUCUGCAAAGGCCUUAUUUCCAAAUAAGGUUGCAUUCUGAGGUUCUGGAUGAACAUGGAUUUUGGGGAGGCAUCAUUUAACCCAGAGCAACUGUCACUAAAAUUUUCCUACCAAGAUCCCUUACUCUAGUUUAAUUGGCCUCUUAUUCAAGGCCUACUCCAUAAGUUAUUUUGGAAUAUAGAAUUUCAGAACAGAAAUGGGAUCUGAUGAUUGCCUAGUUCAGUGGAACCCUUUCUUUAAAUGGAAAUUUAGUCACAGUAAAGGACAGAAAAGAACGCGAACCAAAGCUUAGGUGAUAUGUUUGCAGGAGGAAGGGGUGGCCCACAGUGACCCCCGCUGCCCCCUCCUCUUUACCCCUCACUAGGCUCCCGGAAGACUUCCAGAGCAUCCCAAGGGCUCCACAAACCCCUGUUUAAUCAUAAUCCCUUUACUGUAGGGAUUAAAAACUACUGUUUAGGGAGAUAUAGUGAAUUUUCCCAAGUCACACUGCAACUUGAAUCUGAGGCUUGACCCAUCUAUGAAAUAUCCAAACUGUCGGUCCAUUCAUUUCUGCAUUACCAACAAUGGUCAGUUAUAUAUUUUUCUUUGAGAAGAGAAAAGCAAAACAGUCCAUGCUUGCAAUUCUUUUCUUCCUUUUUGUAAACUAUGACAGAAAAUUCAUGGUGAGGCCAAAGCCAUGACAACACCUGUGUUGCCUCACAUUGAUUUUCUGUUUCCAACUGGAGGAAGAGGUUCCCGGAACAGCCACUUUUGAGUCAAGUGUGUGAGGAAGGAGUCUCUCUUGCCAAGGACUGCUGUAGAUGAUUCCUGCAUAGCCAGCGCUGUGCAGGGCCUCCACUUGAGUGAGCACUCUGUUCCCAUUCUAUUUCUCACUAGUAUUUUGAGUAUGUUCCCCCCAAAGUAGAGAUAGUAUGUCUUUGAAUGCAAACCAUGGGCUGAGCCCUCCAAAUUACUUUUAAAAAAUUAGCUUCUUCAAAAAAUUUUUUUCCACUUCCCUACUGUCUUAAAUAUACUGGUGCUUCUGCCCUAAGACCUUUCAGGAAAGGUACAUGUUCUACCUGAUUUACAACAAUAGGUUAUUCUGGGUAAAUAAUAUAUCUGUUGGAUUUAUUGUGCUUAUUAUUUUAUUGGACCACACUAUCCUUAACCUAGAGAAGAAGCUUGAGGAAAGGAGCUAGGGUCAGGCAGAAGACAGGUAUGUUUUGAAAUAAGAAAGGAAAAGGAAAACGUCUGGAACCUUGACAUUCCACAGGAUAUUGUCCCAUGAAUACAAAAGGUGAUGGGUAGCUAGAACCUGAGGGAGGAGGUGCCUUCUUUUGGAAUUAAAAUUCCAGAAUGUUCUGGAAAGUGCCAGAUGCAAGACCAAGUAGGACCAGCUAGUAAUGGAAAUUCCUCCCAUAUUGACAAGGUUGAUGAACACAUGGUGGGUGCAGCUCAUGGAACACUGGGAGGUCAAAAGCGGUCUCAGUUACCUUUGUACAAUGGACAUGGCACCCCAGGUUAACACAGGGGCCACCUGCCCAGCAGGCAUGGGCAUCAGAUGAAGGCAUUUUUUAAACACCUUAUUUAACAAUUCAGAGUCUAGAUACGAGUACAUUCUCAUUUUAAAUAGUUCAGAAAAACAGAUAUUCCCUUUUCCUCCUUCCAAACAUAUUCUUCCCUUAGAGGCAACCAACAUUAUUAGUUUAAUGAAUCACUUUCCAGACCUUUCUCUCACAUUUAGGUACAUACAAUCACCCCUCGGUAUCUGUGGGGGCCAAAAUCCAGAAACCUCUGUGAAUACCAAAAUCUGCAGAUACUCAAGUCUCUUUUAUAAUAUAGUGUAAUGUUUGCGUAAAACCUAGGCACAUUCUCCCUAUACGGUUGACCCUUGAACUACAUGGGUUUGAACUGAAUGGCUCCACUUAUCCACAUGUUUUUACCAAAUGGCAAAUUGAAAAUACAGUAUUCAUAAGAUAUAAAACCUGCAUAUAAGGAGGGUCACUUUUUCAUACACAAGGGUUCCACGGGGCUGACUGUGGGGCUUGAGUAUGCAUGGGUCAGGGUAUAUAUGUGGGGGUCCUGAAACCAAUCUUCUCCAUAUACAGAGGGACAACUAUACUUUAAAUCAUCUCUAGAUUACUUAUGAUAUGUAAUACAAUGUAAAUACUUUGUAAAUAGUUGUACUGUAUUUUAAAAUUUGUAUUAUGUUUUAUAGUUGCAUUGUUAUUUUUAUUGUUUUAAACAAUAUUUUCAAUCCAUGAUUGGUCAAAUUCACAGAUGUGGAACCCACAGAAACUGAGGACUGACUGUAUAUGUGUGUGUGUGUGUGUGUGUGUGUGUGUGUGUGUGUGUGUAGACACGUAGAAUUUUGUGAUCUAGAAGUGUUAAAUAUAAGAGGUAAUUAUGUGAG
Long non-coding RNA from Homo sapiens (human), 12317 nucleotides. RefSeq lists it as uncharacterized. The transcript is spliced from 2 exons. NCBI's taxonomy places the organism in Eukaryota, Metazoa, Chordata, Mammalia, Primates, Hominidae. The record is from RefSeq and is a predicted model, not a curated record.